GGCCUGGUGGCUCAGUUGGUUAGAGCGUUAGCCUGUACACUACACCAAAAGGUUGCUGGUUCAAUUCCUGUCCUGGUCA
Non-coding RNA from Myotis davidii, 79 nucleotides. The record is from Rfam. Lineage: Eukaryota; Metazoa; Chordata; Mammalia; Chiroptera; Vespertilionidae.